Molecule: non-coding RNA, 755 nt
Organism: Podarcis lilfordi (Lilford's wall lizard)
Lineage: Eukaryota; Metazoa; Chordata; Lepidosauria; Squamata; Lacertidae
Source: the annotation of a GenBank genome assembly
CCAUGUUUCCUUAUUUUGCAUAUACUGUUUUUUUUUAAAAGCAAAAGCUGAGAUUUUAAAACAAAAGCUGAGAUUCUUGUGAAAUAGAUUUUAGAAUGAAAUGUGACACAAAUUAGGCCAAGGCAUUGGACAACCAUAAAAUUGGAAGUGUUGUUAAAACUCUGGGGUUGAAGAAGUUAACGCCAACACAUGAGGGGGGGGGAUAUUCAGUGGAUGGGUAUGGGUUUUUUUUUUUAAGUGUAUGGAGGGGGGCAAGAAGAUGUUUAGUGAGGCAGAUACUAGUUCAGGUAAUAUAUUGGUCCAAAGGUUAGAAGAGGCAAAUUCGUAAUAUUAUAGCGGAUCUUUCUUGGCUCAGAAAUGUACAGUAUUUGGGUUAACACAGAACACUUAAGCAAGCUAGAAAUGUGUGUGUAGAGUAUGACCUUUGUUUUGCAGUUCCACAGUUAAACCCAUUGAGGCUUUUUUCCUGGCUAAAAUGGGGGCCCCUCCCUGCAUCACUAGAAGAGUUGCGUGUAGAAUUCUGUAGCUGAUGAUAAGGGAUUAAGCUCAGGAGUGAAUAUAAUUGGAUUAAUUAAGACUCGGAAGCAGGAAGAAAUAAAAACUUUGCACCCUGAAACCCAGCACAUGGGAAGUCACACAAAAUGUACAGUUGGCUUUAUAACUGAUAUAUAUUUGAAUAUGAAUUGUAAUUUGACACUGAAAAAAUGUGGCCGUUACUGGAUUUUAGUAAUUGAAAAUUAAUAAAAAUUAUUUAC